This is a long non-coding RNA of Dryobates pubescens (Downy woodpecker), 875 nucleotides long. RefSeq lists it as uncharacterized. The transcript is spliced from 4 exons. Lineage: Eukaryota; Metazoa; Chordata; Aves; Piciformes; Picidae. The record is from RefSeq and is a predicted model, not a curated record.
CAAUCCCCUAAUUUAGGGGAGACUGACUCAUCGUUUCUAAACGCUCAGACUUGCUGGUACAGUCGUUGCUUAUUGAGGCACUAAUGUUCGGCUCCUUGUUGUAGGGAAGAGAGGGAGCGGUGGCCUGACUAAGGACCUCAGCAUCUUAACCCUAUUUUUCUGCUGUCAUCAGCUUAGUGUCUGAAUGACUGAGUGGGGUUUCCAGGAGAGCGCAUAGGCAGCUAUUUACCAAUCUCUCCAGUGGGAGCCAGGCACCAAAAUGCUUCUGAGGAGUGGAGAUGAUAUCGUAGACUGCCUAUUUCGAAUCGACCCUGCCCCUCUGUUUCAGGCAGACUUCAGAGGGCAGUUGCUCAUUUUCUGAAGAUACUCCUCUUGCCUCAGAACCACAGUAGGUGUUGCACUCACUGCCUCCUUUCACACCUGUUUUCUGAUUCCUGCCAUCUUUUUCUUGCAACUGCUGCACCUAGUGAGCUGAAACAGCACUGAUAUUAAAGAUACAAAACAUGCUCUGCAAUGCGCCCACUGAUCUCACCUCUGUGGACAAAUGUUUUAGGUAAUCCUGGCACUGGAAGCUGGAAAAAUACAGGAGAAGCCAGGUAAGCCAGAACACUCCCAGAAUGCUCCCUGCCCACUACAGAGGUGUUGUGGAGCUGAUGGUGGAGAGCACACAGCUGUGCAUCUACCAGAUCUUUCCUUUUGAUCAAGCCCACAGGGCAAACAUUGCCUUCUUGCACAUGCAGAUAAAGGAGAAAAAAAGCACAUAAACCCAUUAUAAGAUGAUCAGGAGUCACCUCUUUAAUUUAAGAGUUUCAGUUUUUAUUUAAAGAAAGGUAAGUUUUAUCCUUAAUGGCUCUUGGGAAAAAAAUGGCCAAUGA